Molecule: ribosomal RNA, 253 nt
Filed under: uncultured bacterium
Lineage: Bacteria
Description: partial 16S ribosomal RNA
Rfam family: Bacterial small subunit ribosomal RNA
Source: RNAcentral
GACAGAGGUGCCAAGCGUUAGGCGGAAUCACUGGGCUUAAAGCGUGUGUAGGCGGACCCGUCAGUACCUUGUGAAAUCCCACGGCUCAACCGUGGAACUGCUCGGUAUACUGCGGGUCUUGAGCCACUUAGGGGCUGUCGGAACAAACGGUGGAGCGGUGAAAUGCGUAGAGACCGGGAAGAACACCAGUGGCGAAGGCGGCUACCUGGACAGGUACUGACGCUGAAGCGCGAAAGCUAGGGGAGCAAACAGG